UUGGGGCUCAGCGACUGCGCGGCCACCGCCGCCCCCCACUGCGCAUGCCGGGAGGCGAUCUGCCGCAAUGAGGAGCAGCCCGCCUCGUCACCGGGUCUGCUGGCCGUGAUCCCGGCGGCGGUGGCGGUAGCCGUGGUGGUGUCGGUGUUGGCUUCGCUCGCCGUGUGGCUCGUCCUCGUCUACGUGAGGAGGGUGAGGAGGAGGAGACGCAGGUUGAGCAGGAGGAGCAGGGAAGAGCGAGACCCGACCUCCCUGCACGACAGCAGCAGUGACGGAGGAUGCAGCAGAGACUCGGUGGAUAUCACAGAAGAGGAGGAUGAAGGG
Non-coding RNA from Petromyzon marinus (sea lamprey), 324 nucleotides. The record is from RefSeq and is a predicted model, not a curated record. Lineage: Eukaryota; Metazoa; Chordata; Hyperoartia; Petromyzontiformes; Petromyzontidae.